UGGCUCAGGAUGAACGCUGGCGGCGUGCCUAAUACAUGCAAGUCGAACGCUUCACAUAUGUGAAGAGUGGCGAACGGGUGAGUAAUACAUAAGUAACCUGGCCUUUACAGGGGGAUAACUAUUGGAAACGAUAGCUAAGACCGCAUAGGUGUCAUAACCGCAUGGAGAUGAUAUGAAAUAUGCUACGGCAUAGGUAGAGGAUGGACUUAUGGCGCAUUAGCUAGUUGGAGGGGUAACGGCCCACCAAGGCGACGAUGCGUAGCCGACCUGAGAGGGUGACCGGCCACACUGGGACUGAGACACGGCCCAGACUCCUACGGGAGGCAGCAGUAGGGAAUUUUCGGCAAUGGGGGAAACCCUGACCGAGCAACGCCGCGUGAAGGAAGAAGUAAUUCGUUAUGUAAACUUCUGUCAUAGAGGAAGAACGGUGCGUGUAGGGAAUGACAUGCAAGUGACGGUACUCUAUAAGAAAGCCACGGCUAACUACGUGCCAGCAGCCGCGGUAAUACGUAGGUGGCGAGCGUUAUCCGGAAUUAUUGGGCGUAAAGAGGGAGCAGGCGGCACUAAGGGUCUGUGGUGAAAGAUCGAAGCUUAACUUCGGUAAGCCAUGGAAACCGUAGAGCUAGAGUGUGUGAGAGGAUCGUGGAAUUCCAUGUGUAGCGGUGAAAUGCGUAGAUAUAUGGAGGAACACCAGUGGCGAAGGCGACGAUCUGGCGCAUAACUGACGCUCAGUCCCGAAAGCGUGGGGAGCAAAUAGGAUUAGAUACCCUAGUAGUCCACGCCGUAAACGAUGAGUACUAAGUGUUGGGAGUCAAAUCUCAGUGCUGCAGUUAACGCAAUAAGUACUCCGCCUGAGUAGUACGUUCGCAAGAAUGAAACUCAAAGGAAUUGACGGGGGCC
RNAcentral lists this ribosomal RNA (900 nucleotides) under human gut metagenome. RNAcentral's name for it is "bacterial SSU rRNA". It matches the Rfam family "Bacterial small subunit ribosomal RNA", at positions 20 to 921 of the family's 1533-position model. The record is from RNAcentral.